AACGAACGCUGGCGGCAGGCCUAACACAUGCAAGUCGAACGCCCUGGCAACAGGGAGUGGCAGACGGGUGAGUAACGCGUGGGAACGUGCCCUUCGGUUCGGAAUAACUCAGGGAAACUUGAGCUAAUACCGGAUACGUGCGAGAGCAGAAAGGUUUAUCGCCGAAGGAUCGGCCCGCGUCCGAUUAGCUGGUUGGUGAGGUAAUGGCUCACCAAGGCGACGCUCGGUAGCUGGUCUGAGAGGAUGAUCAGCCACACUGGGACUGAGACACGGCCCAGACUCCUACGGGAGGCAGCAGUGGGGAAUAUUGGACAAUGGGCGCAAGCCUGAUCCAGCCAUGCCGCGUGAGUGAUGAAGGCCCUAGGGUUGUAAAGCUCUUUCGCCAGGGACGAUAAUGACGGUACCUGGAUAAGAAGCCCCGGCCAACUUCGUGCCAGCAGCCGCCGCGG
This 449-nucleotide ribosomal RNA is filed under the name uncultured bacterium. Its description in RNAcentral is "partial 16S ribosomal RNA". It matches the Rfam family "Bacterial small subunit ribosomal RNA", at positions 29 to 523 of the family's 1533-position model. The record is from RNAcentral.